AACGAACGCUGGCGGCAUGCCUAACACAUGCAAGUCGAACGAGACCUUCGGGUCUAGUGGCGCACGGGUGCGUAACGCGUGGGAAUCUGCCCCUCGGUUCGGAAUAACACAGAGAAAUUUGUGCUAAUACCGGAUGAUGACUUCGGUCCAAAGAUUUAUCGCCGAGGGAUGAGCCCGCGUAAGAUUAGCUUGUUGGUGGGGUAAAUGGCCUACCAAGGCGACGAUUUUUUAGCUGGUCUGAGAGGAUGAUCAGCCACACUGGGACUGAGACACGGCCCAGACUCCUACGGGAGGCAGCAGUGGGGAAUAUUGGGCAAUGGGCAAAGCCUGAUCCAGCAAUGCCGCGUGAAGUGAUGAAGGCCUUAGGGUUGUAAAGCUCUUUCAGUCGGAAGAACGAUUGCAA
This 403-nucleotide ribosomal RNA is filed under the name uncultured bacterium. RNAcentral describes it as "bacterial SSU rRNA". It matches the Rfam family "Bacterial small subunit ribosomal RNA", at positions 29 to 457 of the family's 1533-position model. The record is from RNAcentral.